RNAcentral lists this small RNA (104 nucleotides) under Marmota monax (woodchuck). The record is from RNAcentral. Lineage: Eukaryota; Metazoa; Chordata; Mammalia; Rodentia; Sciuridae.
GCUGGGCAUGGUGGUGCAUAUCUGUAAUCCCAGCUACUCGGGAGGCAGGGCAGGAGGAUCACAAGUUGGAGGCCAGCCUCAGCAACUUAGUGAGACCCUGUCUC